RNAcentral lists this ribosomal RNA (289 nucleotides) under uncultured Vibrio sp. RNAcentral describes it as "partial 16S ribosomal RNA". It matches the Rfam family "Bacterial small subunit ribosomal RNA", at positions 1093 to 1382 of the family's 1533-position model. Lineage: Bacteria; Pseudomonadati; Pseudomonadota; Gammaproteobacteria; Vibrionales; Vibrionaceae. The record is from RNAcentral. RNAcentral also lists the same sequence under 1 other name.
CGAGCGCACCCUUGUCCUCAGUUACCAGCACGUUAUGGUGGGCACUCUGGGGAGACUGCCGGUGACAAACCGGAGGAAGGUGGGGACGACGUCAAGUCAUCAUGGCCCUUACGGCCAGGGCUACACACGUGCUACAAUGGUGCAUACAGACGGUUACCAAGCCGCAGGGUGGAGCUAAUCUGAGAAAGUGCAUCGUAGUCCGGAUUGGGGUCUGCAACUCGACCCCAUGAAGACGGAAUCGCUAGUAAUCGUGGAUCAGAAUGCCACGGUGAAUACGUUCCCGGGCCUU